UACAUGGGGUGCAAACGUUGCUCGGAAUUAUUGGGCGUAAAGCGCACGUAGGUGGUUCGUUAUGUCGGAUGUGAAAGCCCUCGGCUCAACUGAGGAAGCGCAUCCGAAACUGGCGAGCUAGAGUAUGUAAGAGGGUCGCGGAAUUCCCGGUGUAGAGGUGAAAUUCGUAGAUAUCGGGAGGAACACCGGUGGCGAAGGCGGCGACCUGGGACAAUACUGACACUGAGGUGCGAAAGCGUGGGGAGCAAACAGG
Molecule: ribosomal RNA, 253 nt
Filed under: uncultured bacterium
Lineage: Bacteria
Description: partial 16S ribosomal RNA
Rfam family: Bacterial small subunit ribosomal RNA
Source: RNAcentral